Molecule: ribosomal RNA, 377 nt
Filed under: uncultured bacterium
Lineage: Bacteria
Description: bacterial SSU rRNA
Rfam family: Bacterial small subunit ribosomal RNA
Source: RNAcentral
AGCGAACGCUGGCGGCGUGCUUAACACAUGCAAGUCGAGCGGUAAGGCCCUUUCGGGGGUACACGAGCGGCGAACGGGUGAGUAACACGUGGGUGACCUGCCCUCAGCUCUGGGAUAAGCCUGGGAAACCGGGUCUAAUACUGGAUAUGACUCCAUGACGCAUGUUGUGGGGUGGAAAGCCUUGUGCGGCUGAGGAUGGGCCCGCGGCCUAUCAGCUUGUUGGUGGGGUGAUGGCCUACCAAGGCGACGACGGGUAGCCGGCCUGAGAGGGCGACCGGCCACACUGGGACUGAGACACGGCCCAGACUCCUACGGGAGGCAGCAGUGGGGAAUCUUGCGCAAUGGGCGCAAGCCUGAUCCAGCGAUGCCGCGUGUGU